RNAcentral lists this long non-coding RNA (2577 nucleotides) under Homo sapiens (human). RNAcentral's name for it is "non-protein coding lnc-WDPCP-1:14". Lineage: Eukaryota; Metazoa; Chordata; Mammalia; Primates; Hominidae. The record is from RNAcentral.
CUUGAAAGCAGCGCAGAGGAUUGAGGCGGCCGUCGCUAGGCAAAUGUCCAGGUGGGAGAUGCUGGGCCAGAAGCCAUGACCGUUCCAGCAUCGGCCGCGGUGCGGGAAGGGGAAGUGGGGACACCACUGGAGGAGGUGAAGCCGUCCAGCUCAAGGCCCUCGAGCCGGGAAGGGGCGAGGGAGCUGGGUGUGGAGACAAGGAUCCAGCAUCCAGGUGACCUCCAGGCCCGGCCAGGCUCUGGAGGACACUUGGGACAAGGGGAGGGCUUUGGAUCUGAGGCCGAGGGAUCUGACCAGGGGCGGAAGUUCUGCUCCGGCCCGCAGACUGUGCCCAAGCAAGCCCGCUGCCAACGCCCCUGCUCCUCUGCGACCCUCGGACCGAUAGUCUCUUUUCCCGCAGCGCGGGCUUUCGAGUUCCGGGUCCUCCGGCGUGCUGGGCUCGUGCCCGUUCUCGGGAGCCAGCGUCUGGGCACCACGCAGCGAUGUCCGGAUGCAGCGCCCUUGCCGCGGGCCUUACCCCGCCAGGCGCCGGAGUCCACGCUCCACCGCCGCUGAGGGGCGUUCGGGCGCCACCGAGCAGCCCAAAUUGAAACCCCGAGAGGCUCGGGACUAAAGCUGAAGGGGCAGGUAGAGGGGCCGCCCGGCGGUCCCAGACCAUCCUAGCAAAUCUGGGGCGAGGGAAGGGUUGUCAGUUGGCCGAUUGGGAGCGGCUUCGGGAGCGAAGGAGCUGCUUUUCGGCGAGGCCCCUCGGGAGUGAAGGUUCCUCGAAUCAAGCGUAAACUGGGGCCCCCUCUGGGAUGGUGUAAACUUAUUCAGCUUCAAAUGCAGCCCAGUAUCCUGCCCUAAGUUCCAGAGGACCAUUUUCCACAUGAAAAGUCUUACGGAUAGACAAACUUCCAUUCAAGCCAAUGUCAAGUUUUCAUUGCAAGAAAGUAGCAGCCGUGUUUAAGGGCUUGUUUCUGGCUAUGUUAAAGGACCAUCCUCUGAGGAAAGCAGAGGAGAGGAACUCCAUUAUCCUUACAGUGAAACGCAACCACUGCAGAAAAACUCCACUGAGUUCGCUCCAAAUGCUCAUCUUCUUCUUCGGCCCUGGAUGUCAGACAAACAGGACAAACAGGAAACAAAAUUAUUUUUCUUCGUGGAGGGCAGAGCAGCACUCCCCCGUCGCCCAGUAUUUGGAUCCCCAGCGGGAAUGGGGAGCACCAGGCCAGUGGGAGGCUGCCCCGGCCCUCCCGCGACCUCUGGAUUGAACUUUCCGCACACUUCUCGGCCCCUCGGCAGGUGGCCCAGCCUCGACCCGACCCCACUGCCCACUCACUGCUUCUCCUGCGCGUCCAGGUCCCUGACGAGCGCAUCGCGCUUGUUCACCAGGGCCACCAGCUCAUCUAGCAGAAGCUGUUCGCGUCGCUUCUGGGCCUCGGUCUUCUGCCAGUCUGCAGAAGACGGGAGGCUAGUUACCCACCGGCAGGGCCUCCGAACACCCGGCCCCCCGCCCUCCCCUUCCCGCCUUUUCCAGUUUCCUUAUAUUUCUCAGCAAACCACAUUAUAGAGCCACUAGCUAGUGUUUUCUGGGGAGUUUGGCUGUUGUGGUGAAGGCUUCCUCGCUAAAAGUCUACUUCCUAAACAGGUCCUGUGAAUGGAGAUGGCUGCAGCAGUGUUGGAACCUGCUUAGAACCAGGUGUGAACUGGUGGCUAGCCUGAGGUGCGCACCUGAAUCCAGCCAAAGUGGGGGAGGGGAGCUAGAGGCCCAGAAGAGGUUGGCCCAGGGGUUGGUAGUGGGGGAAGUGGGUAAAUGAGGAGGCGGGAAACAGUGAUGGGCGAUAAAAUCAUUCUGAAAAGGCUAGAGAAUCUGCCUGAGAACCUAUCCUCCUCCCCCACCCCCACUCUCACCCCAAACAGCCCAUUCUUCGCUAAUUUCCUCUUCGCUCUAUUUUAGCAGUUGGAUGUAUCUCACACUGGGCGCCAUAUGCUUCACAAUAACUUUAAAAGUAGUGAAUCGGCUAAUUAGCAUUUUUCUUUGAAGUAAAAAAUAAAUUUGCUCUGCAAUAUUACACUGCAGCUCUCGAUCGCAUCACAGCCAGUUUUCUUUUGGAGACGUUUGCUGGGUGGUUUCAAAUCAAAGCACUUUUGCAAAGGAAAAAUUACAUAUUUCUUUCUGAAACCCUAUGUUAAAGGUUGGAAAACCCGAUGGGCAGUGCUCUUUCCAUGGAUGGGGGGCGUUUUUUUUUUUUUUUUUUGAAGGUUUUAGACCCCAAUAAUAUAUUUCCUAAUCUUUGCUGGUCUGAUGAUUUCCUUAAGAUGAGCAGCAGUUUCAUUUAAUAGAAACAGGACCAAAUCGAACAUUUAAAACACUUUUGAAACCAAAGCCAACUGCUCUCUGGCCAGACUGUAAGGGCUUGUAGCUGUCAAUCAACCCCCAGUCUACCCCGCCUCCCUCAUUAGGAAGGUAAACAAUGAAAAGAAGAAGUAGAUGAUGAGGCAGAUAGCAGAACAAAUGAGGACCUAGAGGGAAACAGGACACCAGCUUAAAAAAAAAAAAAAAAAAAAAAAAAAAAAAAAAAAAAAAAAAAAAAAAAA